This 497-nucleotide ribosomal RNA is filed under the name uncultured bacterium. RNAcentral describes it as "partial 16S ribosomal RNA". It matches the Rfam family "Bacterial small subunit ribosomal RNA", at positions 28 to 507 of the family's 1533-position model. The record is from RNAcentral.
GAUGAACGCUGGCGGCGUGCCUAAUACAUGCAAGUCGAGCGAACGGACGAGAAGCUUGCUUCUCUGAUGUUAGCGGCGGACGGGUGAGUAACACGUGGAUAACCUACCUAUAAAACUGGGAUAACUUCGGGAAACCGGAGCUAAUACCGGAUAAUAUUUUGAACCGCAUGGUUCAAAAGUGAAAGACGGUCUUGCUGUCACUUAUAGAUGGAUCUGCGCUGCAUUAGCUAGUUGGUAAGGUAACGGCUUACCAAGGCAACGAUGCAUAGCCGACCUGAGAGGGUGAUCGGCCACACUGGAACUGAGACACGGUCCAGACUCCUACGGGAGGCAGCAGUAGGGAAUCUUCCGCAAUGGGCGAAAGCCUGACGGAGCAACGCCGCGUGAGUGAUGAAGGUCUUCGGAUCGUAAAACUCUGUUAUUAGGGAAGAACAUAUGUGUAAGUAACUGUGCACAUCUUGACGGUACCUAAUCAGAAAGCCACGGCUAACUACGUG